GGAUUAGAUACCCUGGUAGUCCACGCUGUAAACGAUGAGAACUUGCUGUUAGACACAUAAAGGUGUUUAGUAGCGUAGCUAACGCAUUAAGUUCUCCGCCUGGGGAGUACGACCGCAAGGUUAAAACUCAAAGGAAUUGACGGGGGCCCGCACAAGCGGUGGAGCAUGUGGUUUAAUUCGAUGCAACGCGAAGAACCUUACCUACUCUUGCAUACCUGGAACUUUGUAGAGAUACGAAGGUGCCGAAAGGAACCAGGAUACAGAUGCUGCAUGGCUGUCGUCAGCUCGUGCCG
Molecule: ribosomal RNA, 293 nt
Filed under: uncultured bacterium
Lineage: Bacteria
Description: partial 16S ribosomal RNA
Rfam family: Bacterial small subunit ribosomal RNA
Source: RNAcentral